UUCACUAAUUUUUACUAUCAUUUAUUUCAUGUUUAUCUCUCAAAAUCAGUUCACUUAUCUACUUCCUCGACCAUUCUCAAUCUUGCAUAAACAUUCUCUGCAAAGCUUUUUUUUCCUAACAACUCACCCCCAAAAUUUAGCCAACUCAAAUACUCUCUUGCUUUUGUAAAUUUCCAGCUUGUUCUUCUCCAAAUCGGUAAGUUUAUUUCCCCAAAUUUCAAUUCAUAAAGAACUUCUGAAACUCUGUCAAUUUCUAAAAUCUCAGCAACGAAAACAUUCAGCCUCUUGCAUCCAAGAAAUCACACACACCAAAGCAUAAUCAUUCUAUUUUCUGCAAUACUCCAACACUUUUACUGUUUUACAUGAAAAAUCAAAAGAAAAUGAAAGAAUUAAAAGAAUAAUAGUAAGAAAUUAGAAGAAAAGAAAAGGAAAUGAAUGGAAGAAUUGUUGGUGAAGAUUGUUGUUGCCGGAGAGGUGAAAGGGGGAGGCAGCCUGACCGGCUGCUGCUGUCUGUCGAGGGGCGGCAAGGGCCGCUGCUGUCGGCCAAAGGAGAGAGAGAGGCAGGGGCAGUGGUGGCGCUGGCAGGCGGCGAAGGUCGCCGCCGGAGAAAUGAGUGGCCGCGGCUGGGCGCGGUGAGGAGAGGGACAGAGGGAGGCGGGAGAUGAGGGAGGGAAGUCGACGGAGAGGGAGAGAUGAGGGAAGAGGGAGAGAGGUUGAGGAGAGGACAGGGGAGCCAGAGCCGCCGGCCUCCGGCGGCGGCGUGCCGUCUGGUGGCGGCGGCAGGAGGCCGAGAAGAGGAGAGGGAGGAGGGCUGAGAGAGGGUGAGCUGCGUGAGAUGUGUGUGUCGUGGGACUUAGGAGUGUGAUUAAAUUGGGGUGAAGGGAAGUUUGGGCUUGGGCUUAGGUUAAUGGGCUCAAUUUAUUAAAUGGUUGGGCUUAACUCUAUUUAUAAUAUGGCUGCAUUUGCAUAUAUUUUUACAAAUGAUAUUAUUAAAUUUUAUAUUCGAAUUUGUGUUAUUAAUUUGAACUUAGUUUUACUUAAAUAUUGAGCUCAAAUAUUUUUAUAAGAAAAGUUCUUUUAUAAUUUAUUGGAUCGAUGAUUUUUAAAAGGUUUUAUGAUAAUAAAUUCUUAUGAUUUAAACUACUAUUAUUAUUAUUUUAAAGUUCAAUUAGGUCCUUAUGUUUUAUUAUUUGAAUUUAUCUAACUAGGUGCGGCGCGACUAGGACGUAACUUUUGAUUGAAUUUCUCAAAGUUAGCCUUCAAGUUCAAGUUACAGGUGUGGGAUUUAUUUCAGUAUAUGCUGUGGUUAAUCUUUGUCCAUUUUAAUAUUAUGUGUUUACCAUAUGUGAGUUACAUUAAAUUAUAUCGCUAGGGGCCCGUUGAAUGGGUCCAGGAUGGUAAAGAUCCUUGGUAUGCCACAAUGCGAUAUACAUGUUAAAGUUAUGGUUGCAACCAGUCGCCAGGGGCCGGCUGAAUCGGUCCAGGACGGAAAGGUCCUUGGUAUGCCACCGUGCGACUUUCAGUUACGAAUGUUUGAUCAUAUGUGUUUCCAUUUUAUUAACGUGGACAAUGAUUGCAUGUUCCCACACUGAGUGUACCCUGUAUACUCAUCCCAUAUUUAACAUUUUCAGGUUUUAAAGGCCGGAGGCGCGUGGAAGGUCGAAUGACGAAUCAAAUAUUUUGAAUUUAGUUUUUCUUAAAAAUGUUAUGUUUAGUAAAGUAUUUUAAAAUAAGAUAUUUAUUUCUUUAUUUUCAUAUUAAA
Molecule: long non-coding RNA, 1762 nt
Filed under: Salvia miltiorrhiza (redroot sage)
Lineage: Eukaryota; Viridiplantae; Streptophyta; Magnoliopsida; Lamiales; Lamiaceae
Description: long non-coding RNA (SMIL_LNC005076)
Source: RNAcentral